Microcebus murinus (gray mouse lemur) is the source of this 1381-nucleotide non-coding RNA. Lineage: Eukaryota; Metazoa; Chordata; Mammalia; Primates; Cheirogaleidae. The record is from RefSeq and is a predicted model, not a curated record.
UUCUCCCCACUCCCCUCCAUUUCUUGGAGUAUUCCCUAUUUGGCCUCUUGAUGAAGUGGGAGAGGUUCCUGUGGACCUGUGCUCUGGUCAGUUUCAGACCUUUCCUUCCUUUUCUUGCCCAAGGACACUGUUUGCUAGUAACUGCGUUCUAACCAGAAUUUGGAAUGUUAAUAACACUGUUUGCUGCUAAUGAUUGAAAUCGGAGAGUUUGGGUCUACAUUUGGACUUAAUUACAAGCCUUAUAGUUACCUUUGAAAUUUUAAGGUGGUGUUGCUGGCUCUGUUGAAGAUCUUGGUUAGAUUGCCUUCUUAACGAGGAAAAAAGAUACAAUUUAUACAGAUCACAUUUAGAGUUAAUGGGAAUGUAUCAAUAUAGAGAAUUUGUUCUGAAGAGAUGUUGACCUUAAGGUUGAACAAUGGUUGGACCAUGUUAGCAUUUCAGAGUAGAUUACAUUUUCACUUCCUUUUUAAGCUUCCUAAUUCUGAAGUCUUUCCUUUGUAAUAUCAGGGAUACUUGAUCACGUACAAAAGAGUCUCCAUUGCUUUAUACACUUUAUUUUCACAAAUUUUUUGAUGGCUGUUCAUUAUCUUAAAAACAAAGACUGAGAUCAAGUGGUGACUUGUCUAGGAGAAUAUGCAAUGUGAAAACUCCCCACUUAAAGAUUUUGGGAUCCUUCAUUGCACAUAUAAUGGUUUGACUGUAGUAAGUUCUCAGCUGGUAUUACGGUUCUUUGACAAGAAGACCACAGAGGUAAAGUACCAUUGUCAAUGACAUCAUCAAAGGUAUAUAUUGUCAACAUGACUUACACUAUUGAUAUUUACCUUAGUCAUCUGGUUUAUUAGUGAUUGUCAGGUUUCUCCACUUGUAAAGUUAUUCUUUAAUCCCAUCCCCCUUUCCAUACUGUACUUUUUGGAAGGAAACACUAUGUGCACCCCACACUUAAGGAGUGGAUGUUAUGCUCUACCUCCCUGAGGGCAGCAUCUAGAUAAACUAUUUAGAAUUCUUCUACGUGGGAGAUUUUUCUCUUCUCCCCCAUUUAUUUAUUCAGUCAUUUAUUUUACAUCAUUGAUGUUUAUUUUAUAUUUCACAUUACAAGCAGGUACUACUUUACUUUGUUGCUCAGAUUGUUCCACCUUUGGCCAUUAGGAGCUCUUUCAGUUGGCUCAUACUCCCUGUGUAUGUGUGUGUAUGUGUGUGUGUAUAUAUGUGUUAGAGGAACAUUCUAAGUCUUUUGAUUGUGAAAAAAAUUGUAAAAUAGAGGUUAUAUUUCAUAUACAGUCCUUCCAUUUUUACAUCUGUGCUCAUCAUAAUACCCUAUAAUAACUAACAAAAUUCAUUUAUUGUGUUUAUGCUCUACUCUCAGCUUUCUUCAUUCAUGUAC